Long non-coding RNA from Dreissena polymorpha, 2987 nucleotides. RefSeq lists it as uncharacterized. The transcript is spliced from 2 exons. NCBI's taxonomy places the organism in Eukaryota, Metazoa, Mollusca, Bivalvia, Myida, Dreissenidae. The record is from RefSeq and is a predicted model, not a curated record.
GUUUAAACGAGUCAUAUGCAUUUGCUAAGGAUAUUUUAGUACGAAUGGAAAAACGACUGAAAAUAGGCCGAUACGGGGAACAAGAUGGCGGAAAUAAAGGUGUCGGCAUGAGACAAGAAGCGCAUCUGUAACCUGGGCCAACCGAUAUGAGCAAAGCCAUCAUCUUGGCUGCAUACAAUGACAAGCCGGAGAUGAAUAGAGUUCAGUUCGCUACAUCCUCAUCGGGUACAUAGGAUUUGUUACUAAAGGGAGAUGAUGUGUUUAGUAGUAGUAGUAGUAGUAGUAGUAGUAGUAGUAGUAGUAGUUGCAUUAGUAGUAGUAGUAGUAGUAGUUGUAGUAGUAGCAAUAGUAGUAGUUGUUGUGGUAGUAGUAGUAGUAGAAGUAGUAGUAGUAGUAGUAGUAGUAGUAGUAGUAGGAGUAGUAGUAGUAGUAUUAGUAUUAGUAUUAGUAGUAGUAGUAGUAGUAGUAGUAGUAGUAGUAGUAGUAGUAGUAGUAGUAGUAGUAGUAGUAGUAGUAGUAGUAGUAGUAGUAGUAGUAGUAGUAGUAGUAGUAGUAGUAGUAGUAGUAGUAGUAGUAGUAGUAGUAGUAGUAGUAGUAGUAGUAGUAGUAGUAGUAGUAGUAGUAGUAGUAGUAGUAGUAGUAGUAGUAGUAGUAGUAGUAGUAGUAGUAGUAGUAGUAGUAGUAGUAGUAGUAGUAGUAGUAGUAGUAGUAGUAGUAGUAGUAGUAGUAGUAGUAGUAGUAGUAGUAGUCGUAGCAGUAGUAGUAGUAGUAGUAGUAGUAGUAGUCGUAGUAGUAGUAAUAGCAGUAAUUGCAGUAGUAGUAGAAGUAGCAGUAGAAGAAGUAGAAGAAGUAAUUAUAUUAGUAGUUUUUUAUUCUAAUUUGUAUAACCUGGCCCGAUGAAGUCCACAGCAAACUACAUCUCACCAGUUCCAAGAAGACGCAAACAUAAGAGCAAGACAUAAAAGUCAUCCAAGACAGUUGAGUCUAAAAAGGACCCUUCGACUUUACAGACGAAUGAAGAUUCCGGGGAGCCAACAGAUCUCAAGCAAACACAUAAUUAAGGCACUUUAUAUGGUCUGUUGUUAGUUUGCUAUUCUUAUGGUGGUGCUUAUGAGUUUUCUACUAUUUAUUUUGCGUCAAGACAGCUGUUAUAUAUAUAUAACGUUCAAAUACGUCUUGAAUAUUGAAUAAUUUUAUAAAUAAAAUUUUGCUACAUUUUAUCUCGACGAAUGUUGUUAAUCUAACAGUUGAACGUAACUUCAAAUUCAAUUAAAACUUUCUUAAGAGAAUAUCGUUUGAAAAAGUGUCCUCUUCACCUUUAUUAAUAAAUAAAUUAUAGUAAAACACUUUUGUAACUGAUUUGUAAAUUUCAAAUAUUGUUGAAUCGAAAGCUAUUUGUUAUAACACUAUACAAAAGUGUGUUUAUUUAACUUUACUUAUAAAAAAGAAUGUUAUAAUUUAAAAGUUUAGGGGUAAAGUGAAUUUUGUUUAGUGUAUGGCAAUACACAUUUAUAAAUGACGAAUCUCUUUAUCUUAAAGGGACCUGUUUACGAUUAAGCAAAUUGACAAAAUAGUUUAAGAUUUGCACAUUUUCAUUGUUGUUCUGAUAAUUGCGAGAAAAUAGUAAUACUAAACAUUAACCAUGCUUUAAAAUAUGCUUUAAAGGCAUAUACAUUUGAUGUGUGUGUUAAAUGUACUUCGCGAAUAGCUGCGUAUCAAGUGGUUAUUAUUUAAUCCUAAACGCAUUUCAAGUGUAGUAGGUAUCCUUCGAAGGCUACCGAUCCUGGGGAUUCAUAUGAACUGAAUAUUUUAGCACAUUUCAUAAUACACUGACAUCUACGGUUUAUAUAAAAAAGCAAGAUUUGUUUACGUGCAAUUUUUCUGUACAUGUAACGCGUUCAAUUCCGGGGAGACAACCUGAUCUUAAUGUUCAAACAAGCGAUGCGAAAACAGUUUAAGCUAUUAGUAAAAUACAUUUUCAUGACCUAACAUACAUAAACUAAUUUUUUGAGUGCAUGUAGAUCACGAUAUAAUGUAUUGAAUUAUUUUUCGGCACUAUACAUUUAUACUUAAACAAUUCUUUUUGCCGAAAAAAUAACACAAAGUCGUAUGAUGAUAAAUAUUAAAACAUCCAAAUUCUUCUUGAAUAGAUCUCGGUGUAUUUCACAAUUCGAGAUAAAAAGACAUGCUUUUCAGAUAUCUUAAACUGAGUCUAUUUCAAUUGUUUAACCGCUCGAUUUAUGGCAUUGUAACCAAAAAUAUACUUCAAUGUUAAUAUAUAUGCCAGCAAACAACUAAGUAUAUGAUUUAGAUGCAUAAUAGUAAUGUAUUAUAUUUUUCUUUUUGUUUAGUUGAUUAUCCAAAUUAAUUUCAACAAAGUCAUCCUGCCUUUACCCGCGUGAGUAAUAUGAAUUCACUUCUUAUGUGUUGUAAACGUAAAUCAUUGGUAAUGAUUUUUCCCAUACAGUUUAAGGGAGGCUACUAUAAUAAAAACUACUAUUUUAUUUAAUGUUGGAUAGCAUUUAGCGGUUACCCGUGUGUUUGUUGUUAUAUGUAUUUGUAUCAUAAAAUACUUUAUGAUGAGUGUACAACUGAAAAUAGAUUAAAUUAAAUUAGUUUUGACUCCAAUAUAUUAUGCCUUUUUUAUUCAAUGUUUACAAUUGCAGCCUUAGGUUUUUUUUUCAAUAUGUAUACAGUCAUAUUAAAAACUCCGAUCUAAAAAAGCAGUUAUAACAAUCAAAUUUGUUUCACAUGCUCACCAUCAAGUGCGUCAGAUGUAAGCGAAACAAAGUAAGAUCAAACUAUUUUGAAAACUACGUUUACUAAACAAUAAAAAUGUGUUUUAUAUGACUUGCAACGUGCAAACUACUAAAGGGAAAUAAUUUAUUAAACUGAAAUAGUGAUCAUAUGUAUACUUCAUUUGUAUGAAUUGCAUGCAGAUAUUUUGUUACAAUAUUACAUUACUAUGCAAUAAAUGUAUCCUUAAA